UGGGGAAUAUUGGACAGUGGGCGCAAGCCUGAUCCAGCAAUACCGCGUGUGUGAAGAAGGCCUGCGGGUUGUAAAGCACUUUCAAUUGUGAAGAAAAGCGGGAGGCUAAUACCCUUCUGUCUUGACGUUAACUUUAGAAGAAGCACCGGCUAACUCUGUGCCAGCAGCCGCGGUAAUACAGAGGGCGCGAGCGUUAAUCGGAAUUACUGGGCGUAAAGCGUGCGUAGGCGGUUUAGUAAGUCAGAUGUGAAAGCCCUGGGCUUAACCUGGGAACUGCAUUUGAAACUGCUGAACUAGAGUGUGGUAGAGGGAAGUGGAAUUCCGGGUGUAGCGGUGAAAUGCGUAGAUAUCCGGAGGAACACCAGUGGCGAAGGCGACUUCCUGGACCAACACUGACGCUGAGGUACGAAAGCGUGGGUAGCAAACAGGAUUAGAUACCCUGGUAGUCCACGCCGUAAACGAUGUCAACUAGUUGUUGGGAGCAUCUUGGCUCUUAGUAACGUAGCUAACGCGAUAAGUUGACCGCCUGGGGAGUACGGCCGCAAGGUUA
This 550-nucleotide ribosomal RNA is filed under the name uncultured Gammaproteobacteria bacterium. RNAcentral describes it as "bacterial SSU rRNA". It matches the Rfam family "Bacterial small subunit ribosomal RNA", at positions 355 to 896 of the family's 1533-position model. Lineage: Bacteria; Pseudomonadati; Pseudomonadota; Gammaproteobacteria. The record is from RNAcentral.